This 160-nucleotide unclassified non-coding RNA is filed under the name uncultured Helotiales. RNAcentral's name for it is "sequence contains ITS2". Lineage: Eukaryota; Fungi; Ascomycota; Leotiomycetes; Helotiales. The record is from RNAcentral.
CAACCCCUCAAGCUUCGGCUUGGUGUUGGGCCGCGCCGCUGCAGCAGCAGCUGGCGGGCCUCAAAAUCAGUGGCGGUGCCGUCUUGGCUCUAAGCGUAGUAACAUCUCUCGCUCUGGAGACCUGGCGGUUGCUUGCCAGACAACCCCCAACUUUCUUAAG